This 1487-nucleotide ribosomal RNA is filed under the name uncultured bacterium. RNAcentral's name for it is "bacterial SSU rRNA". It matches the Rfam family "Bacterial small subunit ribosomal RNA". The record is from RNAcentral.
AGUUUGAUUAUGGCUCAGGAUGAACGCUAGCUACAGGCUUAACACAUGCAAGUCGAGGGGCAGCAUGGUCUUAGCUUGCUAAGACUGAUGGCGACCGGCGCACGGGUGAGUAACACGUAUCCAACCUGCCGUCUACUCUUGGACAGCCUUCUGAAAGGAAGAUUAAUACAAGAUGGCAUCAUGAGUCCACAUGUUCACAUGAUUAAAGGUAUUCCGGUAGACGAUGGGGAUGCGUUCCAUUAGAUAGUAGGCGGGGUAACGGCCCACCUAGUCUUCGAUGGAUAGGGGUUCUGAGAGGAAGGUCCCCCACAUUGGAACUGAGACACGGUCCAAACUCCUACGGGAGGCAGCAGUGAGGAAUAUUGGUCAAUGGGCGAGAGCCUGAACCAGCCAAGUAGCGUGAAGGAUGACUGCCCUAUGGGUUGUAAACUUCUUUUAUAAAGGAAUAAAGUCGGGUAUGCAUACCCGUUUGCAUGUACUUUAUGAAUAAGGAUCGGCUAACUCCGUGCCAGCAGCCGCGGUAAUACGGAGGAUCCGAGCGUUAUCCGGAUUUAUUGGGUUUAAAGGGAGCGUAGAUGGAUGUUUAAGUCAGUUGUGAAAGUUUGCGGCUCAACCGUAAAAUUGCAGUUGAUACUGGAUAUCUUGAGUGCAGUUGAGGCAGGCGGAAUUCGUGGUGUAGCGGUGAAAUGCUUAGAUAUCACGAAGAACUCCGAUUGCGAAGGCAGCCUGCUAAGCUGCAACUGACAUUGAGGCUCGAAAGUGUGGGUAUCAAACAGGAUUAGAUACCCUGGUAGUCCACACGGUAAACGAUGAAUACUCGCUGUUUGCGAUAUACAGCAAGCGGCCAAGCGAAAGCGUUAAGUAUUCCACCUGGGGAGUACGCCGGCAACGGUGAAACUCAAAGGAAUUGACGGGGGCCCGCACAAGCGGAGGAACAUGUGGUUUAAUUCGAUGAUACGCGAGGAACCUUACCCGGGCUUAAAUUGCAGAUGAAUUACGGUGAAAGCCGUAAGCCGCAAGGCAUCUGUGAAGGUGCUGCAUGGUUGUCGUCAGCUCGUGCCGUGAGGUGUCGGCUUAAGUGCCAUAACGAGCGCAACCCUUGUUGUCAGUUACUAACAGGUUCUGCUGAGGACUCUGACAAGACUGCCAUCGUAAGAUGUGAGGAAGGUGGGGAUGACGUCAAAUCAGCACGGCCCUUACGUCCGGGGCUACACACGUGUUACAAUGGGGGGUACAGAGGGCCGCUACCACGCGAGUGGAUGCCAAUCCCAAAAACCUCUCUCAGUUCGGACUGGAGUCUGCAACCCGACUCCACGAAGCUGGAUUCGCUAGUAAUCGCGCAUCAGCCACGGCGCGGUGAAUACGUUCCCGGGCCUUGUACACACCGCCCGUCAAGCCAUGGGAGCCGGGGGUACCUGAAGUGCGUAACCGCGAGGAGCGCCCUAGGGUAAAACUGGUGACUGGGGCUAAGUCGUAACAAGGUAACC